UGGGGAAUAUUGCACAAUGGGGGAAACCCUGAUGCAGCAACGCCGCGUGAAGGAUGAAGGUUUUCGGAUUGUAAACUUCUUUUAUUCGUGAAGAUAAUGACGGUAGCGAAUGAAUAAGCCACGGCUAACUACGUGCCAGCAGCCGCGGUAAUACGUAGGUGGCGAGCGUUGUCCGGAAUUACUGGGUGUAAAGGGCGAGUAGGCGGGACUACAAGUCAGAUGUGAAAUGCGGAGGCUCAACCUCCGAGCUGCAUUUGAAACUGUAGUUCUUGAGUGAUGGAGAGGCAGGCGGAAUUCCCGGUGUAGCGGUGGAAUGCAUAGAUAUCGGGAGGAACACCAGUGGCGAAGGCGGCCUGCUGGACAUUAACUGACGCUGAGGAGCGAAAGCGUGGGGAGCAAACA
Molecule: ribosomal RNA, 402 nt
Filed under: uncultured Eubacteriales bacterium
Lineage: Bacteria; Bacillati; Bacillota; Clostridia; Eubacteriales
Description: uncultured Clostridiales bacterium partial 16S ribosomal RNA
Rfam family: Bacterial small subunit ribosomal RNA
Source: RNAcentral